GAAACGCUGGUUUUAAUCCAUUCCUUCAUCUGAAAAGCUAUUUCUCUGCUGCUUGCUCUUCCUUUUUCCCCUACCUUCUUUCCACUUAAAUUUCCAAAUUGAACCUUUGAAUUGUUGAACAAAAGCAGCCUAGGUAGUCUUGAAGUUGUGGGCUUCGAUCCGAUCAGUUGAUUUCUUGUUUCGCUAACGGAUUUGUGGAUUUUCUUGUGAGGCCAGCUAAGAGCUAGGGUUCUUGUGAUCUGGGAUUUUGCUUCAAUUGAGUAGCUGAUGAUGUUCCCUUGGAGCAAGCACUGGAGGAUCAUGAAGCCUUAGCCCCUAGCUCUUAGGACCUUUCAAACACAUCUGUAUAUUUAAAUACUUUUAAACUUGUAAAAAUUUGAAAUUCUGUCUAUAUUUUGGAUGACUGUAUAUUUGAUAUUGUCAUAUGUUAACUCCUAACUGCUCUCUCA
This is a long non-coding RNA of Vigna radiata var. radiata (mung bean), 449 nucleotides long. RefSeq lists it as uncharacterized. The record is from RefSeq and is a predicted model, not a curated record. The transcript is spliced from 3 exons. NCBI's taxonomy places the organism in Eukaryota, Viridiplantae, Streptophyta, Magnoliopsida, Fabales, Fabaceae.